RNAcentral lists this transfer RNA (72 nucleotides) under Bacillota bacterium. RNAcentral describes it as "Firmicutes bacterium (marine metagenome) tRNA-Gln". It matches the Rfam family "tRNA". Rfam says of the family: Transfer RNA (tRNA) molecules are approximately 80 nucleotides in length. Their secondary structure includes four short double-helical elements and three loops (D, anti-codon, and T loops). The record is from RNAcentral. RNAcentral also lists the same sequence under 3 other names. Lineage: Bacteria; Bacillati; Bacillota.
UGGGGCGUCGGCAAGCGGCAAGCCACGGGUUUUUGGAGCCCGCAUUCGUAGGUUCGAAUCCUACCGCCCCAG